Perognathus longimembris pacificus (Pacific pocket mouse) is the source of this 107-nucleotide small nuclear RNA. The record is from RefSeq and is a predicted model, not a curated record. NCBI's taxonomy places the organism in Eukaryota, Metazoa, Chordata, Mammalia, Rodentia, Heteromyidae.
GUGCUCACUUUGGAAGCACAUACACUAAAAUUGGAAUGAUACAGAGAAGAUUAUAAUGGCUCCUGUGCAAGGAUGAUAUGCAAAUUUGUGAAGCAUUCCACAUUCUU